CCCCAGCCGCUCCUUUUGAGCCCUGAUGACAACAGUCCAGUGCACCGAGUAUUUCAGAAGCCAAUGGAGAGCCGAGGUCCAGGGGCCAUCGGUGUGAUUGGGAAAUGCAAAGCAGCUCACUCGGGUGUCAAAUAUUUUUGCUGCAAUAAUAAAAGACAGAAAAUUCUCAGCUACGGCCAUCUGAUGCCCCCCUUCAUCGAGGGGAUCCUGUAGUACGGAGGCCUGUCAGCCUGCAUUCGGCCUGACCUUUGCCCUCUCGCUGCUCUCUGACAUGGUGGCCCUGCUCACCUUCCACAUCUACUGCUUCCACGCCUACGGAGCCAGAGCCUGAUCUACUCUGGACUCUGAGAAUUGGAGAGUGACAAUUGGCACACAGGAAGUACUAGAAAUCGCACCAUAAAUGUUCACCUGC
Long non-coding RNA from Gasterosteus aculeatus aculeatus (three-spined stickleback), 412 nucleotides. The record is from Ensembl. Lineage: Eukaryota; Metazoa; Chordata; Actinopteri; Perciformes; Gasterosteidae.